GCUGAGGAGUCCCAAAAUAGGACGAAACGGCCGUCC
This is a non-coding RNA of Schistosoma margrebowiei, 36 nucleotides long. NCBI's taxonomy places the organism in Eukaryota, Metazoa, Platyhelminthes, Trematoda, Strigeidida, Schistosomatidae. The record is from Rfam.